Molecule: ribosomal RNA, 497 nt
Filed under: uncultured bacterium
Lineage: Bacteria
Description: partial 16S ribosomal RNA
Rfam family: Bacterial small subunit ribosomal RNA
Source: RNAcentral
GAUGAACGCUGGCGGCGUGCCUAAUACAUGCAAGUCGAGCGAACAGAUGAGGAGCUUGCUCCUCUGACGUUAGCGGCGGACGGGUGAGUAACACGUGGAUAACCUACCUAUAAGACUGGGAUAACUUCGGGAAACCGGAGCUAAUACCGGAUAAUAUAUUGAACCGCAUGGUUCAAUAGUGAAAGACGGUUUUGCUGUCACUUAUAGAUGGAUCCGCGCCGCAUUAGCUAGUUGGUAAGGUAACGGCUUACCAAGGCAACGAUGCGUAGCCGACCUGAGAGGGUGAUCGGCCACACUGGAACUGAGACACGGCCCUGACUCCUACGGGAGGCAGCAGUAGGGAAUCUUCCGCAAUGGGCGAAAGCCUGACGGAGCAACGCCGCGUGAGUGAUGAAGGUCUUCGGAUCGUAAAACUCUGUUAUUAGGGAAGAACAAAUGUGUAAGUAACUAUGCACGUCUUGACGGUACCUAAUCAGAAAGCCACGGCUAACUACGUG